RNAcentral lists this long non-coding RNA (1214 nucleotides) under Physcomitrium patens. RNAcentral describes it as "long non-coding RNA (PPAT_LNC009421)". Lineage: Eukaryota; Viridiplantae; Streptophyta; Bryopsida; Funariales; Funariaceae. The record is from RNAcentral.
AAAAAAAUGUUCUACAACAAAUUGUGCUUCUUACAGUCAGAAAUGAGCUCAAUUCCAAAUUUUAGUGGUGUUACGCAAUACAAUGCAUACUCGUAGAUUUUGUGUUACUGAUUCGUGUAGUAUGGUUGUUUGAAUGGGCAACACUCCCACUAGGACUUCGUUUCGGGAAUUAGUUGUCAGUUUCCACACCAUUUUGUUGCAGCCUCAGCAUCGUCAUCCACAGCUUCAACCAUUGCAGGCUCAAUCAGGAGAUUCUAUGAAUUUAUUGUCAGGGUUUGAGCUGAAGCAUCAUCGGUAACAGGAUAUUCUCUCUCUUUGGUAUGGACUUUUCCACAAGUAGAAUGGCACCUCCGGCCCCACUUGGGUGAACCAUAAGGUCCUCUCCUUGCUUUGCCCGGUGUGCAUUGGCUGUCCCUUGCUCUACAGGAACAUGUGUGAUUGUUAGAUUAUGACGCACUGCAGUGAAUACCCAGCUCUACCGCUAAGAGCCACACUGGAUGAAACUCUAGAAUUUGUAGUCGUGUGGAAAAGAUUCUACUAAACAAGAUAUUGCAACCUUAGAGAAGUCUGGCAUAAAUUGAAGGAACAACCAAAUAGCACAGUUAUAUGGCAGUUAGAUUUGCCCAAAUAAGUACAGAAUGUCUAAAGCCAUAAUGUGAAGAUUAGACACACAAAUAGAUGUUGGAUGGGUGGACUCGGAGCACACACAGAUCCGUUUUAGAUGAAGUGAGCGUUAGAGGUUCUGGAUAGGGCGAUUUACGCUGAAUUUGAGGUCAAAACCAAUGGGAGAUUAGGAUAAGCCCAUUCUCUUGAUUUGAAACGAAGCCAAGAUUCUAGUUCGCAACAGUUUCUUCUAGAAUCCUAACACUCGACAAGAUCAUAAGGCGGCACUGAGGAGAAUCUGAUGGUCACAAAAUUUGCCCCUCCCCAAACCUUAACAAAGCAAUUAUAGAAAUAUAAUAUGGGAAAAGCGUACCUCUCAAACAUCGACAGAUUCGAACGAGUACCUUCGCUUCAUAUUCUGUACACCCCAACGCAGAUGUCAAAGACGAUACAAACUUCUACCGACAACCUUACGACUCACUCAUGUUGCUGAUUUUGUUAACGAACUAGUGACAUAAAUCAACAUUGUUAUUGCCCUCGAAUGGGCUGUCUUGAGCGAUCGUGUCUUCUAUACUGAUAGGAGAGGUGAGAAUUGGUCUCUGCAUGUACUA